This 355-nucleotide unclassified non-coding RNA is filed under the name Hevea brasiliensis (rubber tree). The record is from RNAcentral. Lineage: Eukaryota; Viridiplantae; Streptophyta; Magnoliopsida; Malpighiales; Euphorbiaceae.
AGGCCCUCAAUGCCCGCCUUGCCUGCAAAUUUCCACAAACAAAACAAAAUGUAACUAGCAGGAAUAAAUUCUAAAAUACACAUCAAAUGCAACCAAAUUACAAGAGACCAUCUAAUUGAAGUAAAGUGAAAAUUCAGGAAAUAAGUACUUUACAACAACUAUAACAUGAUUCUGAGGGUGUACUGAUUUUAUAACUUAGCGUCCUAAUCCAAGAGGAUUACAAGUGAUGGUUUCCAAGCAAAUUAUGUGAUUAUUUAAAGAUAGAACGAUUUGUAAGCAAUUCUUCCCUUAGAAAAUAGAGGAAAUGAAGACAUGUGCAAAACAGAUUUCCCAGUUCACACUCAACCUAGCAAAG